CCUACGGGGGGCAGCAGUGGGGGAUAUUGCACAAUGGGGGGAACCCUGAUGCAGCGACGCCGCGUGGGUGAAGAAGCGCCUCGGCGCGUAAAGCCCUGUCAGCAGGGAAGAAAAUGACGGUACCUGAAGAAGAAGCCCCGGCGAACUACGUGCCAGCAGCCGCGGUAUUACGCAGGGGGGAAGCGUUAACCGGAGUUACUGGGUGUAAAGGGGGCGCAGACGGCGAGGCAAGCCAGGCGUGAAAGCGCGGGGCCCAACCCCGGGACUGCUCUUGGAACUGCGUGGCUGGAGUGCAGGAGGGGCAGGCGGAAUUCCUGGUGUAGCGGUGAAAUGCGUAGAUAUCAGGAGGAACACCGGUGGCGAAGGCGGCCUGCUGGACUGCAACUGACGUUGAGGGGCGAAAGCGUGGGGAGCAAACAGGAUUAGAUACCCCUGUAGUC
This 440-nucleotide ribosomal RNA is filed under the name uncultured bacterium. Its description in RNAcentral is "partial 16S ribosomal RNA". It matches the Rfam family "Bacterial small subunit ribosomal RNA", at positions 338 to 795 of the family's 1533-position model. The record is from RNAcentral.